GCAGUCGAGCGGAGAGAGGUAGCUUGCUACUGAUCUUAGCGGCGGACGGGUGAGUAAUGCUUAGGAAUCUGCCUAUUAGUGGGGGACAACAUUUCGAAAGGAAUGCUAAUACCGCAUACGUCCUACGGGAGAAAGCAGGGGAUCUUCGGACCUUGCGCUAAUAGAUGAGCCUAAGUCGGAUUAGCUAGUUGGUGGGGUAAAGGCCUACCAAGGCGACGAUCUGUAGCGGGUCUGAGAGGAUGAUCCGCCACACUGGGACUGAGACACGGCCCAGACUCCUACGGGAGGCAGCAGUGGGGAAUAUUGGACAAUGGGCGGAAGCCUGAUCCAGCCAUGCCGCGUGUGUGAAGAAGGCCUUAUGGUUGUAAAGCACUUUAAGCGAGGAGGAGGCUACUUUAGUUAAUACCUAGAGAUAGUGGACGUUACUCGCAGAAUAAGCACCGGCUAACUCUGUGCCAGCAGCCGCGGUAAUACAGAGGGUGCAAGCGUUAAUCGGAUUUACUGGGCGUAAAGCGCGCGUAGGCGGCUAAUUAAGUCAAAUGUGAAAUCCCCGAGCUUAACUUGGGAAUUGCAUUCGAUACUGGUUAGCUAGAGUGUGGGAGAGGAUGGUAGAAUUCCAGGUGUAGCGGUGAAAUGCGUAGAGAUCUGGAGGAAUACCGAUGGCGAAGGCAGCCAUCUGGCCUAACACUGACGCUGAGGUGCGAAAGCAUGGGGAGCAAACAGGAUUAGAUACCCUGGUAGUCCAUGCCGUAAACGAUGUCUACUAGCCGUUGGGGCCUUUGAGGCUUUAGUGGCGCAGCUAACGCGAUAAGUAGACCGCCUGGGGAGUACGGUCGCAAGACUAAAACUCAAAUGAAUUGACGGGGGCCCGCACAAGCGGUGGAGCAUGUGGUUUAAUUCGAUGCAACGCGAAGAACCUUACCUGGCCUUGACAUAGUAAGAACUUUCCAGAGAUGGAUUGGUGCCUUCGGGAACUUACAUACAGGUGCUGCAUGGCUGUCGUCAGCUCGUGUCGUGAGAUGUUGGGUUAAGUCCCGCAACGAGCGCAACCCUUUUCCUUAUUUGCCAGCGAGUAAUGUCGGGAACUUUAAGGAUACUGCCAGUGACAAACUGGAGGAAGGCGGGGACGACGUCAAGUCAUCAUGGCCCUUACGGCCAGGGCUACACACGU
This 1171-nucleotide ribosomal RNA is filed under the name Acinetobacter sp. RNAcentral describes it as "bacterial SSU rRNA". It matches the Rfam family "Bacterial small subunit ribosomal RNA", at positions 57 to 1223 of the family's 1533-position model. The record is from RNAcentral. Lineage: Bacteria; Pseudomonadati; Pseudomonadota; Gammaproteobacteria; Moraxellales; Moraxellaceae.